Molecule: unclassified non-coding RNA, 644 nt
Filed under: Exaiptasia diaphana
Lineage: Eukaryota; Metazoa; Cnidaria; Anthozoa; Actiniaria; Aiptasiidae
Description: rYamide receptor-like, transcript variant X4
Source: RNAcentral
GGUGCUGUAUUUGAAGAAGUCAUUAACAAACGCUAGUACUUAUAAAGGUGCAACCCAGAGAUUCACAAUACCCGUCAUUUAUGAAANNAGUGUGCGUUUNUUUGUAGAUUAUACCGAGNCAACGUUUGCGAAUAAGGUACACUAGCCGCGGUGUAUAGAUCUCUCUUUUGGUACCAUCAAGGGUACGAAGCUGUGCGGAAGUUGAAACUGGUCGAUAUCAACUGAGAUCGUCGAGAGAAAAGUGGAUUACAAAUCAACAAGUCUUGAACACCGACAAGAAAGAUUUACGUAAACAUGAAGUUUAUUGCAAGUUUUAUCGUACUGUCCAUGAUUAUACUGGAAGUGCAACCUGUGCCUGCAAGCAAGGGUAGUGAUAUCACAGUGAACAAAGAGAAGGCACUUCAAUUCAUCAGCGUCAACAAACGCGGGAUUUUUAAAGAUCUCUAUAACGAAUGUUGCGUCGAAUGCUGCCAAGCUGAAGAGAUNCAAGAGGCUGGGAUAUUUAACAAGACACGUGUCCAGUUUGUGAAAGAGAACUGCUGACCAACCGUAUCGCAUGUCUUUAAAAACAGCGAACGGAAGAUUUACAAUAUAUAUCAUAUAAAUAAAAUCCAUUAAAACCGUAAAAGUUAGCAAGUCGUGUA